UGAAGACUCUGUGACAUCAAAGAGGAGUUCUAUAGGAUUGCAGAUGGUCUGCAAUGCUGACUGUGUGAUCAGCAAUGUUGUGGCAAAAUGGCCUGGCUCAGUCCAUGACUCCAGAAUCUUUCGGGCCUCUGAAAUCUAUCAGUGCCUAUCACAAGGUGAAUUCUCUGGUGUGUUGCUGGGAGACAGGGGUAUGGCUGCCAGCCUUUUCUCCUGACACCUUUCACAGACCCCAGGAAGCACAGCAGGCCUACAACCAUGCCCAUGCCAGGACCAGGGCCAGAGUUGAAAUGACCUUUGGCCUCCUGAAGGCACGCUUUCACUGCCUUCACAAAUUAAGGGUCAGCCCUGUUAGGGCAUGUGAUAUUACUGUGGCUUGUGC
Molecule: long non-coding RNA, 379 nt
Organism: Oncorhynchus nerka (sockeye salmon)
Lineage: Eukaryota; Metazoa; Chordata; Actinopteri; Salmoniformes; Salmonidae
Exons: 3
Source: RefSeq, a predicted model, not a curated record